AUUGAACGCUGGCGGCAUGCCUUACACAUGCAAGUCGAACGGCAGCACGGGGCAACCUGGUGGCGAGUGGCGAACGGGUGAGUAAUGCAUCGGAACGUGCCAUUGAGUGGGGGAUAACGUAGCGAAAGUUGCGCUAAUACCGCAUAUUCUGUGAGCAGGAAAGCAGGGGACCGCAAGGCCUUGCGCUCUUUGAGCGGCCGAUGUCAGAUUAGCUAGUUGGUGAGGUAACGGCUUACCAAGGCGACGAUCUGUAGCGGGUCUGAGAGGAUGAUCCGCCACACUGGAACUGAGACACGGUCCAGACUCCUACGGGAGGCAGCAGUGGGGAAUUUUGGACAAUGGGGGCAACCCUGAUCCAGCCAUUCCGCGUGAGUGAAGAAGG
Molecule: ribosomal RNA, 382 nt
Filed under: uncultured bacterium
Lineage: Bacteria
Description: bacterial SSU rRNA
Rfam family: Bacterial small subunit ribosomal RNA
Source: RNAcentral